CCGUGCUAGACGGGGAGGUAGCGGUGCCCUGUAACCCGCAAUCCGCUAUAGCGGGGUUGAUGCCUGUCCGAGGUCGUUUCUUUUUAGGGUCUGGCCGGCGCGAGCGGCGUUGAGGGCCGGGUCCUGCGCAAUGGGAACUCGUGAACCCCGCCAGGUCCGGGAGGAAGCAACGGUAAGCGAUCUCUCUCAUGUGCCGCAGGGGUUCCUGGUCGGAGCAAGCUACGCUGGGACCGCCUGGGGAGAACGGUCGGAGACCGGUGCACGG
Molecule: signal recognition particle RNA, 265 nt
Filed under: Candidatus Fermentithermobacillaceae bacterium
Lineage: Bacteria; Bacillati; Bacillota; Candidatus Fermentithermobacillia; Candidatus Fermentithermobacillales; Candidatus Fermentithermobacillaceae
Description: signal recognition particle sRNA large type
Rfam family: Bacterial large signal recognition particle RNA
About the family: The signal recognition particle (SRP) is a universally conserved ribonucleoprotein involved in the co-translational targeting of proteins to membranes. Archaeal SRP consists of a 7S RNA and homologues of the eukaryotic SRP19 and SRP54 proteins.
Source: RNAcentral